Molecule: unclassified non-coding RNA, 953 nt
Filed under: Hevea brasiliensis (rubber tree)
Lineage: Eukaryota; Viridiplantae; Streptophyta; Magnoliopsida; Malpighiales; Euphorbiaceae
Source: RNAcentral
UUUUUUUUUUUUUUUUUUUCAAUUCAAAGAAUUGGGAGAGAAAACCACAAAGCAAGGGUCUGUACUCUCAACUAUGUACACAACAAGGCAAGUAUUCAAUCCCUAAAAUAUUAGUCUAGUCCAAAUACAAUUCUAAAUUCUAGAAAGAAAAUAUACUACUUUUAUCUAUACUUAUAAGCUAAUGCUAUAACAUUAAAGCGGAUCCUAAAAGCUUCAAUGUUCAUUUUUUGAACACUUAGUUUUCCAUUUCACCCUCUAAUGGCCACCUGAACUUGCCAUAUCUCAAGCUUACAUCUUAAGAAAAAAAAAGGAUGUGAAGGAAGUCUAGGUUGAAGAUAUUGUGAAGAAUUUUAGCUAUUAACAAUAAAUUUUGUAAAAUUUUCCAAAAUUAAGCUGACGCAGGCAGCUGAGUAAAUUGAAGGGAGUAAAUCUGUGGUUAUGAGCUGGGUUAUACGGAUAUAUACAUACCUAUUUAACCCAAAUCAACCUUAACCCUUCCCAUAUACUUAAUUAGUGAAGAAUUGGAUGAUUUCAAUGCUUCAUACCACAUUUUCUAUCCACAACCCAACUCAUGAACAGAUUUGAGUCCGAACCCAAGCUAUCCAACCCCCAGAUUGACUUUGAACUUUUCUUUUCUUCUCUUUUCUUUUCAUUUCAUUUAGAAAAAAACAAGCAUUUUCUUAUUUUUCCCUCACAAAUUUGUUGAAUGCUAAUCAACUUGAUUUUGAACUAAAAUGUCUUGGUAUCAAAACUGCUCUAACAUAUUCAUGAAUUGUGCCACCAAUAAUUUUCGAAGUCCUCACCAUUCCCAUACCACAAAUCAUUUUACCAAUUUGGAAUUAGCUCCAGUAAUGCACAAAAUUCUAUAAGCUACUCUGUUUUACAUACUAGGAUUCUAGGAACACAAAGCUGAGACUGAAAAGUGAAAAUGAUAUAGAAUCUUAACAGUUCAG